GGGAUGUGGUAAGGCUCUGGCCUGGAGAUGUGAUUUGCAGAGACUGUCGGCGUGAUCUCUCUCAUUCUCUCUGUGUUGCAGCCUCCCAAAGUGAAAUGCCUGACCAAGAUCUGGCACCCCAACAUCACAGAGACAGGGGAAAUAUGUCUGAGUUUACUGAGAGAACAUUCAAUUGAUGGCACUGGCUGGGCUCCCACAAGAACAUUAAAGGAUGUCGUUUGGGGAUUAAACUCUUUGUUUACUGAUCUUUUGAAUUUUGAUGAUCCACUGAAUAUUGAAGCUGCAGAACAUCAUUUGCGGGACAAGGAGGACUUCCGGAAUAAAGUGGAUGACUACAUCAAACGUUAUGCCAGAUGAUAAAAGGGGACGAUUGCGGGCCCAUGGACUGUGUUACAGUUUGUCUCUAACAUGAAACAGCAAGAGGUAGCCCCCUCUCCCGUCCUCAUGCUCCCUCUCAGUCCCCUGGAUUGCCCCAGUCCUGUGACCAUGUUGCCCUGAAGAAGACCAUCUUCAUGACUGCUCAUUGUAGAUGGAGAAUUCAACAUAAAUACAGCAAGAAAAUGUGUUUGGGCUUCUGAAGAGUUGUCUGCUUACCUUAACAUGUUUACUUUUUUGAACUUGUACUGUAUAGGCUGUUGGUGAAAUUCUUAAGAAGUUGUAAUGAACUCAAAAUUGAGGCCAGGCUUGCUUUCCCUUUUCCCAAACAAAAUUGGUUUUCUGCACAAGCGAUGCUAAUGAUGUGUUCAGUGUAACUCGCAGAUUGGCAAUAAGAUACCCGCUACAAACUGUGAUUGGAUGCAA
This 801-nucleotide small RNA is filed under the name Pongo abelii (Sumatran orangutan). RNAcentral describes it as "retained intron". The record is from RNAcentral. Lineage: Eukaryota; Metazoa; Chordata; Mammalia; Primates; Hominidae.